RNAcentral lists this unclassified non-coding RNA (461 nucleotides) under plant metagenome. RNAcentral describes it as "partial contains 5.8S ribosomal RNA, internal transcribed spacer 2, and large subunit ribosomal RNA". The record is from RNAcentral.
GAAGGCCAAGAUGAAACCAUAUUGCUUUUCACUAGCGCCAUAUUGGUUCAUAAAAACGUCUGCAGAACCAGCGAUGUAAGCAAACGGCGCUGCAGUUGCAAUUCCACCCGCCAGGGUAUAAAGAAGAAAUUGUGGUUGUUUUGUGACUGAAACAAAGUUUUUCACAACCGGUUUAGGAAGGAGCGAGAGGCUUCGGUCAGCAGCUCUCCCCUCCGGAAGGACAAAAUAUAUUUGCUAUUAAUAUGAGCAGAGUCAGUGCCGCGAGGAUCAUAGAUAUCGCCUGCCAGCCGAAAAAUAUCGUAACGUAGCUGCCAACAGCAGGGGCUAUCAUUGGAGAAACCGCUAUGACCAGCGUGAUCCAUGAAAAUGCUUGCGCAGUUUUGUCUGUAGGGAAGAGGUCUCGCACAAGCGCCUGAGCUGCUACCAUUCCCGCACAGCCACCCACUGCCUGGACAAAGCGC